Molecule: ribosomal RNA, 508 nt
Filed under: uncultured bacterium
Lineage: Bacteria
Description: partial 16S ribosomal RNA
Rfam family: Bacterial small subunit ribosomal RNA
Source: RNAcentral
GACGAACGCUGGCGGCGCGCUUAACACAUGCAAGUCGAGCGAGAACCCAGGCUUCGGCCUGGGGGAAAGCGGCGAACGGGUGAGUAACACGUGGGUAAUCUGCCCUCGGCAUCGGGAUAGCCCGGGGAAACCCGGAUUAAUACCGGAUGGCCCGACAGCUCUUCGGAGCGGUCGGAAAAGGUAGCUUCGGCCUCCGGCCGAGGAGGAGCCCGCGGCGGAUUAGCUUGUUGGUGAGGUAAUGGCCCACCAAGGCUCCGAUCCGUAGCUGGUCUGAGAGGACGAUCAGCCACACUGGGACUGAGACACGGCCCAGACUCCUACGGGAGGCAGCAGUGGGGAAUCUUGCGCAAUGGGCGAAAGCCUGACGCAGCGACGCCGCGUGAGGGAAGAAGGCCUUCGGGUUGUAAACCUCUUUCAGGAGGGACGAAGCCACUCGGGUUAAUAGCCCAGAGGGUGACGGUACCUCCAGAAGAAGCCCCGGCUAACUGCGUGCCAGCCGCCGCCGUAA